RNAcentral lists this ribosomal RNA (320 nucleotides) under uncultured eukaryote. RNAcentral's name for it is "partial 18S ribosomal RNA". It matches the Rfam family "Eukaryotic small subunit ribosomal RNA", at positions 1470 to 1796 of the family's 1831-position model. The record is from RNAcentral.
CCCCUAGAUGUUCUGGGCCGCACGCGCGCUACACUGAACAGUUCAACAAGUCUUAACCUUGGCCGAUAGGUCUGGGUAAUCUUUGAACGCUGGUCGUGAUGGGGAUAGACUUUUGCAAUUUUUGGUCUUCAACGAGGAAUUCCUAGUAAACGCAAGUCAUCAACUUGCAUUGAUUACGUCCCUGCCCUUUGUACACACCGCCCGUCGCACCUACCGAUUGAAUGGUCCGGUGAAAUCUCGGGACGGCGGCUUGGUCGCUUGCGUCCGACUGCUGAAACUUGAUUAAACCAUAUCAUUUAGAGGAAGGUGAAGUCGUAACA